Molecule: ribosomal RNA, 530 nt
Filed under: Nigrospora sphaerica
Lineage: Eukaryota; Fungi; Ascomycota; Sordariomycetes; Amphisphaeriales; Apiosporaceae
Description: eukaryotic LSU rRNA
Rfam family: 5.8S ribosomal RNA (bases 161-314)
Source: RNAcentral
UCCUUAGGGUGAGAGGGGCACCCGGGGCCACAAGUGCAUUUAUUAAGACGAGGAGGGGUUUAGCUACCCGGGACCUCGCGCCCCGGGCGGCCCGCCGGCGGACAAACCAAAACUCUUGUUAUCUUAGUUGAUUAUCUGAGUGUCUUAUUUAAUAAGUCAAAACUUUCAACAACGGAUCUCUUGGUUCUGGCAUCGAUGAAGAACGCAGCGAAAUGCGAUAAGUAAUGUGAAUUGCAGAAUUCAGUGAAUCAUCGAAUCUUUGAACGCACAUUGCGCCCAUUAGUAUUCUAGUGGGCAUGCCUGUUCGAGCGUCAUUUCAACCCCUAAGCACAGCUUAUUGUUGGGAACCUACGGCUUCGUAGUUCCUCAAAGACAUUGGCGGAGUGGCAGUGGUCCUCUGAGCGUAGUAAUCUUUUAUCUCGCUUCUGUUAGGUGCUGCCCCCCCGGCCGUAAAACCCCCAAUUUUUUCUGGUUGACCUCGGAUCAGGUAGGAAUACCCGCUGAACUUAAGCAUAUCAAUAAGCGGAGGA